UAACUACUCCCUCCGUCCCAAAAUAAGUGUCUCAAGCUUAGUACAACUUUGUACUAACUCUAGUACAAAGUUGAGACACUUAUUUUGGGACGGAGGGAGUAUUUC
Triticum aestivum (bread wheat) is the source of this 105-nucleotide non-coding RNA. Lineage: Eukaryota; Viridiplantae; Streptophyta; Magnoliopsida; Poales; Poaceae. The record is from Rfam.